RNAcentral lists this ribosomal RNA (253 nucleotides) under uncultured bacterium. RNAcentral's name for it is "partial 16S ribosomal RNA". It matches the Rfam family "Bacterial small subunit ribosomal RNA", at positions 524 to 776 of the family's 1533-position model. The record is from RNAcentral.
UACGGAGGGUGCAAGCGUCAUCCGGAUUCACUGGGUUUAAAGGGUGCGUAGGUGGGUUGGUAAGUCAGUGGUGAAAUCCCCGAGCUUAACUCGGGAACUGCCAUUGAUACUAUUAAUCUUGAAUACCGUGGAGGUCAGCGGAAUAUGUCAUGUAGCGGUGAAAUGCUUAGAUAUGACAUAGAACACCAAUUGCGAAGGCAGCUGGCUACACGAAUAUUGACACUGAGGCACGAAAGCGUGGGGAUCAAACAGG